This 512-nucleotide ribosomal RNA is filed under the name Candida albicans. Its description in RNAcentral is "eukaryotic LSU rRNA". The stretch from base 144 to 297 matches the Rfam family "5.8S ribosomal RNA". The record is from RNAcentral. Lineage: Eukaryota; Fungi; Ascomycota; Pichiomycetes; Serinales; Debaryomycetaceae.
UGGCUUCGAAUGCUUAUUGCACCACAUGUGUUUUUCUUUGAAACAAACUUGCUUUGGCGGUGGGCCCAGCCUGCCGCCAGAGGUCUAAACUUACAACCAAUUUUUUAUCAACUUGUCACACCAGAUUAUUACUUAAUAGUCAAAACUUUCAACAACGGAUCUCUUGGUUCUCGCAUCGAUGAAGAACGCAGCGAAAUGCGAUACGUAAUAUGAAUUGCAGAUAUUCGUGAAUCAUCGAAUCUUUGAACGCACAUUGCGCCCUCUGGUAUUCCGGAGGGCAUGCCUGUUUGAGCGUCGUUUCUCCCUCAAACCGCUGGGUUUGGUGUUGAGCAAUACGACUUGGGUUUGCUUGAAAGACGGUAGUGGUAAGGCGGGAUCGCUUUGACAAUGGCUUAGGUCUAACCAAAAACAUUGCUUGCGGCGGUAACGUCUACCACGUAUAUCUUCAAACUUUGACCUCAAAUCAGGUAGGACUACCCGCUGAACUUAAGCAUAUCAAUAAGGCGGAGGAA